Ictalurus punctatus (channel catfish) is the source of this 8979-nucleotide long non-coding RNA. The record is from Ensembl. Lineage: Eukaryota; Metazoa; Chordata; Actinopteri; Siluriformes; Ictaluridae.
GUGAUCCUAGUGUACGUUAUCGCGCUAAGGAUCAGACUGUAAAUAUCGAGAGGAGGAACUAGAGCAUCUACAAGUGACUUAAAAAAAGCAAACGAACAUCUUAAACAUAAAACUAGAUGAGAAACAACGAGCACGUUUACGCGGACGGCGGUGAUCUAAUCACGGACCUUAUUCUGAAUAAGACGUAUGAUAUCGUGAUUAAGGUGUUUACACGAGGCGCUUUUAGAAUACUCCUUUCAUGUUCCCGUGUCACGUGUUAUAGAACGUAGACGGAUUAACGGCACACGUCAUUACGUCCCCGCGCCACGCCGUCCGACGUCCCUCCGGAAUUUCACGUAUCGACGUACAGUCGGUCUUCGUUAUGGGACCGUAUACAGUUCUGGGUGUUUUUAUUUUUAAUUUUAUGAAAGCUUCGAGUGCGGUUAAUUAUUUGUCGUGCUGUACGUGCAGAUAGACGACCGCUUGAAGCCGUGGGCUGCGUCCCGAACCGUGUACAUACCGUCUAUAUAUAAGCCUAUAUUAGGUAAGGACGCGGUUUGGGACGCAGCCGUGCUCUCUCGUCGAGCGCUGGCGUGUGUGAUCGUGUCCUGUCGCACGAUGCGGUGAAAACUCUCGCACGACGUUAAUAGCGUGAUUAAGGCGUGUACACGUCUGUAACGCACGUCGAUAACGCGACUAAAACAGGAAUACUCCACACGUCUUCAUUCCAUCUGUGUUUACUCCGAGUGUGACUUUAAUCAGAUUAAGGUCAUCGAGAAUCUCCGUUUACAUGCUAGUGUCGUAAUCAGAGUAUCGUCUUAAUCGGGUUCGUAUGGGAUUAUCGUCGUCCGUGUGAGCGCACUGAGUGUCUACAGAUGAUGCCUGGUCUGUUCGAGUACGUUGUUCUUGAUGAGCGGAUAUUGGUCAUCGCUAUUCCAUCUACGCUAAUUAAGUCAACUAGCUAAUGUGCUUCAUGUUAAAUCGCUCGCUAACGUUAUGAGGUCCGUGGUGCUUUUUCGUAUCCGACAUUUAAGUCAGGAAACAUAAACACGGAUGUUCAGCGACGUCCCUGACUGAUUAAGAAUGAGUUUUGGUAUCGACGAGUCCUAAAAAGUUGUCAUCGAUGCGUCCCUGAUUUAAUCUCAGUUUAGUUUCCUACACCGAAUACGCCAGGUCUCCGCGAGUCUGAGGGCUAACGUGUUCUUCCUCCGAGACACAAGACGUCUUGCUUGUGUUACAUCACACCACAGGGCAGCUCAACACGCUCGGAGGAGACACCAACCGGCCUCGUUUAUGACUGGGAGAGAGAGUAACGUCGUUUCUUAUCCGAAGCGCAGGAGAGUUAAAGCUCUCUUCGACUCCGAAAGCCUGUUGGGAACGUUGGGAUUCUUGAGGAGUUUUUUUUCUUGGAAAAUAUUUUUAAAAUGUAAUAAAAUGACAGACAAGCUGAAACAGUCUCAGGAUAACCGUACAAAGCCGAGGAGAACGGUGACUAUGAGGGGAACAGUUUGAGAAGCGCUCCCUCUAAUACUACGGGAUGUUGUAGAUUAGUGUGUUAAAGACAAAGUCGUUGUUCUGCUUCACGUAUGCAACAAUUAUGACGGUGAAACGAACGAAAGCUUUUUUUUGUUGGAUAAAGCGGUCAUAAAAGUGCGUCGUUUCCUCUACACAAUCUCCAUUUCCUUCGAUACAAGUUCUCCCAUUUCUGUCACAGGGGAUUUGAACACACAACCUUCUAAUCUGUAACUUAAAGCCCGAUCAGCUGAGCCACAACGACUAGCUCGAGUAGACACCACUGUAAGUCAUUAUUUUUAAAUCAUUGACCAGACUGUGUUAUUUUAUACUAUGUAGGAUAUUAUAAUACUUUACUGUAAAUGUACCUGUAAAAACUCUUUGUAAAAAAUAAAAAAUAAAAUCACAGUAUUUUUUUCUACAGUACACUUAAGGGUUUUGAUUUGACUUCCCCUCAUAAACCAGUAAUUCGGUCCCUGCAGGAUUGGGCGAGUUUGCGAUCGUAGAAAUUCAAAAUCAGACAAACGCCGCAACAUUCAGAGGAGCUUUCAAUUUCUCGAAAUGACUGCAGGUUCACGUGCGUUGAACACGAGUACAGCUGAAAGCUCUCGUUCACAGACAAACAUCACUGCGAAAGACCGUGCAAAACAAUUUUGUGCGAUUUCGCCAAUUCAAGUCGUUUUCCGACAAAAAAAAAAGCACAAAAACUCCAUCACGCGUUUUGCAAAAAGUCUCAGCUUUUGGCUUCAACAGUCACAGAAAUAACCUCAGUGAAAUCCUGUACGGACCGGUAAUUCAAAACGUGAGACUCGGGACAUCGUCUCUCAUCGCCUCUCUUUUUCAAACCCCAGCGUUAGGUAGACUGGUUUCACCCACACUUCCACGAUCUGGACACGAGGAAAACAUACCAACGUACAAAACUCCACACAGGAUCGAACUCUGGAGCUGUGAGGCGUCAUUUUUAACGAACACAUGAACUUUAUUAAUAAACCAAAUCUCUCAGUUUCCUAACAGUGGGUUUCUGAGAGAACUGUAACUAAAGAAUAAAAAUAUUUUUAAAAGUGAUGAUAUAUUUCACAAAGACAAAAGCCUAAUUAAGUGACGUAAGACAAUUUUUUAGGUUGAAGAGGUUCAGCUGAUGAUAUGGUUCCAGUGGUUUACUAAUUAAAUUCUGUUUAAAGCGACGCUUCAGUAAAGUUGACGCUCUGAGAUUACACGUUCUGUAUGAAGUUCCUUUAAACCCUCACACGUGGUUCUCCUGAGGCACCGCAUAGAGCACAAACUGCACCACUAAUAAAGGAUUUAUGAGGGUUGGCACGUCGGCGUCUCAGGAGUUCAACAGCACCACACAGUGGUCACGACGCGUAACUGCAACCACAGGAACAAAUGAACACAGAAAUAAAUAAAUUACGAAUAAAAAUGUUUUAAUCAUCACUUCAGACCAGUUUUAAAAAAAAACAAACAAACACCAAACAAUCCAUGUAUUUACAUUCAUGUGUUCUUCUUUCAUGUUUUGUUCCUCAUAUUUAUAUACAUAUAUAUUUACAUACAAUAUUUACAGAAAGGUUCAUGGGGGUGGGGUGGGGUGGGGGGGGGGUAUAAGAAAAACAAUAAAGACAAUAACAACACCAAUAUGAGUCUUAUUAAUAUUGUGAAUGAUUAAUUAUUAAUAAUACGGACAGUGUAACGUAUAUUUUUAUAUAAAUCUGUAUGUACAUGGCGAGUGGAGAACGAACCGAAGACGAGACGCGACACAAAUAAUAUCCACUGUUAAAUAAUUUAAGUGUAAACUGAGGUGUUAAGUGUGGUUACAAGUUCCAUAUAAAAAAAAAGUCUGAAGAGUAGAAACAUCUCACACACACACACACACACACACACACACACACACACACACACACAGAAGUAAAGCUCAUUUAAUCAACCUCGUUAAGCAACAAUUACACACCUACGCAACCCAGAACCCGCUCUAAACGCUCUGUUAGAAUGUCUCAGCUACUGCUCCAGUACCAGAACCUGCUGUAAACGUUCUGACGAAAUAUCCAAGCUACUGUUCUAGAACCGGUACUCUGUCAAAUAUCCUGUUAGAAUGUCUGAGAUAUGAUUCCGGAACGAUGACCCACUUUAAACGUUCUGCCUCUGAAAUAUCCGAGCUACCAUUCUAGAACCAACACCGGUUAAAACCACCUUUCGGAAUGUCUGAGAUCCUGCACUAGAACCAGAACCCACUCUAAACGUCCUGGCAUAACUACUAAACUACUAGAACCAGACCCUGCUCUAAGUAUUCUGUUGAAAUAUCCAAGCUACUCUUCUAGAACCAUCUAGGGAUCUAGAAUUCGACUCAUUAAAAUGUCUCAGUUUCUGAUCUAGAACCAGAACCGAUGCUGUGACUACUGUUGUAUUAAUCAAGGACUCGAACUCUAUCUGACGUCCUGACUGGUGAGCUGAAGGCUCUACAGCACUAACACCAACUGUUCUAAACAUCCUAUCAGAGGGUCUGGAAAAUGUCCCAGCUACUGUUCUAGAACCCGAAAACAACAAUGUUGUAAAUGUUCUUUUUGAACUACUGUCCUAGAAUCAAAACGGACUCCUUCAUAAACAUUUAAACUGCUGUUCUAGAACUAGAACCAACACUGUUCUAAACACACUGUUCAAAUCAUUAAGCUACUGCUACAGAAUCCUAACCAUCUAACACCCUACAGUGUCCGAGCUGACGUUCCAUCCAUCAGAAGGUCUGAGCUACCUUUCUAGACUGCUGUUCCAGAACUAGAACCAACACGGUUCUAAACACCCUCUUCAAACAGACUCUUUUCAGUUCUAGUGCCGUAACGAUCGAACACUUUAAACGUCUGAGCGGACGUUCCGUCCCAUCAGAAGGUCCGAGCUACUGCAACGGGGGUAACAGGAGAACCGACUCUGUUCCAACCAUCAAGUUCCUAAUCUUUGUGCUAUCAUUCUAGAACCUGAACUGACUCCAUUCUGUCAUAAAAUCAUCUAACAUUCUAAAAUGUCUGUGCUGUUGCUCUGUCCCAUCUAUCUCUCUAGAAAUAGAACCGACUCUAAACAUCCCGUCAAAUCUUUACGCUACGGUUCUAGAACCUAAACCGGCUCCGUCCUGUUCUAGAAUCCUAAGAGUCUAACACUGGGAACGGAGCUGAUCCGAGCUACUUUUCCAGACUCCGUUCUAAUCGUCCCGUUAAAAACUUCUGAGCGGUUAGAACCGCACGCUCAGACGCAGAACCAGCUGAAACGUGUUUGUGUGAAAAUAGAUCGAGUGUAGUGAAGAGCGAGCGUUCCCCCGUUAUUUACUUCAUGAAAGCCUUAAAAAAAGUAAGAAGACGUUGGUGUUUUUUUUUUUGUUGGGUUUUUUUCAGUCAAGCUUACAAAGACACUCCUGCACUCCUACAGCCUGGAGGAGAAAGCCGCGCGCGAGACGUCUGAUUAAUGAGAUUAGAUGACGGUUUUAUCCUUCACUUUUCGUCUCUCCUUCCUUCUUUCGUGCAUGGUUCAAAAGUGUCCACUUUAGAAGGAAACGUGAGAACAAAGCCGCUCUGAUGAUCUGAUGAAGACCGACAGCACCACGCCGUGCCGCCCGGCUCUAAAUACCCAAGAUGCCAAGUAUCAGAUGACACUUUUCUUCCGAAGCAUAAUGCGUUUUGUUUAGGCGUCGCUCACGAAGGACAAGCAGCGCUAAAACUUUCAGACCGGUGAAAUAAAUAGUAGAAGCUGACCUUAGGGACAGCUAGAGACAUUAGUGUUGUAUUGUGCAGAAGGGCUGGGCGGCAUCGAUACUGUGAUAUAUGAACAUCACGAUACACUUGAGUAUCGAGUACAGGGUGCACCGUCACACACCCCAACAAGUUCAUCCUAGAUCUUUUUUUUUUUAUCACGAGGUCCAGAAAUAUCACAGUAUUGACAGAAUAAACGCAUUUUCCAUUUCGCCCUGAUAAAUGACCAUGAGAAGGAGAAGAAACCCAUCAGAAGAAGGAUAAUAAUAAUAAUAAUAAUAAUGAUAAUGAUAAUAAUAAAACCUUUCCUGUUGCAAUAGGACUCUUCUUCAAUGUGCAGGAUUGCUGACACUUCUAGUCUUCUAGUCUUCCUAACUAAAAAUGUCUUGUGAUUGUACACAAACAGGGUACACCUUCAAAUCUGUACAGCUUUUGUCUGGUUUACAAAACAACAACAACAACAACAACAUUCCUCACAUUCCCUGCCUACCUCUGACUCCUCCUACCUCUCCCUAGCAGGCUUUGUGAUUGGCUGCCUCAGCAGACGGACAGGGUGGGCGGGCUCUGUCUCUGCUGUGUUUUUUUCAGCAGUUGGAUGCGGUUGUGGCAGUAGAACUUGAUGGCUCUCCAGUCCCUGCGGUUGGUGACCAGGAGUGGACACUGCUCCAGACAGCGCUCGCAGUCUGCUUUAGCGGGGACGCGCAGCUCCAUGAUGUUCCGCACCAGGUGGGACUCCACCGCGGCCCGCUCUGCCUCGGACCACGGACGCUUCAGGACGCCGCGCUUGCCUGACGGACGGAGGAAGAGAAGGAGAAACGGAUAUAGAGUGUAGCGAUGCAAUGACAGGAGAGAAACGGAGGGCACAGACAAAGAGUGAAACAUGGAGAAUGAAGGGAAAUGGAGAGAGCGUGAGAGAGAGAGAGAGUGAAAGAAGACAAAGAGACAAGGAGUGUAACAGUGAGAGAAAGAAAUGAAGGAAGAAAAAGAGGGAGAGAGAGGGGGAGUAAAGAAAACAGAAAGAGUGAAGCAGUAAGCAAGAGAGUAAGAAUAAAUAGAGGAAGUGAGAGAUACAGAAAGAGAAAUGAAGGAAGGAAAUGAAGAAAAAAAAAGAAAAGAAAGGAAGGAAGGAAGAAAAAAGAAAGAUAGAAAGAAAUUAAAGAAAGGAAGGAAGAAAGAAAGAAAGGAUGGAAGUAAACGUAAGAAAGGAAAUAAAGAAAGGAUGGAAGAAAGAAAGAAAGGAAUGGGAGAAGACAGAAUACGUGAGAAAAACAGAGAGAAACAAAGGAAAAGGAAAAACAAAAAUGAAAAGAGAGAGAGAGAAAUGGUAAAGAAGAGAGAAAGAGAAAAAUAGAGGAAGGGAGAAAGAUAAAGGAAGAAAGAGGAGAACAGACACAGGCAGAAAAAAGUUAAUGAAAGGUAGAGAGAGCGACAUAUCGAAGGACAGACAGAUAACGAGAGAAAGACAGGUGAGUCGCAGAGCAGUGAAACAGAGAGUUAGAGAAAGUAGAAGAGAGAUAGAGGAGAAAGAGAGAUGAAGGACAGCCAGAUAGAGGAUGUGUUAAUCAUUGGUCAUUCGCAAACACCACAAACACAGAGAGGGAGCUGUUAGAAAAUAAUCUGCAGUACACACACACAUACACACACAUACACACACGCGCACACACACAUACACACACAUACACACACAUACACAUACACACACAUACACACACAUACACACACACACACAUACACACACAUACACACACAUACACACACAUACACACACAUACAUACACACACAUACACACACAUACACACACAUACACACACAUACACACACAUACACACACACACGCGCGCACACACACACACACGCGCGCGCACACACACACACACACACACACACACGCGCGCACACACAUACACACGCGCACACACAUACACACACACAUACACACACACACAUAUACACACAUAUACACAAACACACACACACCUGGUUUGGGCUGUCCUGAACCCCUCUUGCGGUUGGGAGAGAAGGGAGAGCCGCUCAUCUUCUUCAGACGAGGGGGUCUGGUGAUGUUGCUGCUGGAGGACUUUUUAAUCAUGAUGGUAGGAGACUCGCUCUUAUCCUUCUCUUGCUCUCCAUCUGAUUCCUCCGACAACGAAUCUGCAGAAUUCCCUGACAUCACUGCUCACACACACACACACACACACACGAACACAAACACAAACACAAUUGCAAAGUUUAACCUUCAGUACAGUUAAAUGAUUCUGUAAUUUUAUUAUAUAUUAAUAUUCCCAGAUUCAAUAUAAGGAAUAUUCCAAUAAAACAGAAUAAAAUGAAAUGAAGAGAGAGAGAGAGAGAGAGAGAGAGAGAGAGAGAGAGAGAGAGAGAGAGAGAGAGAGAGAGUGAGAAAACACACUUGUAAUGGCUUGGAAUUAUUCUUUAAUAUUUCUAAGAAAACUCGGGCCUUUGUGGAUUUAAUAUAAACAUAUUGGGUUCUUUUCCCUUAUUUUGUUCAGUGUGAGUAAUCUCACACACACACACACACACACACACACUCACCAUCCAGCUCUAAACAGAUAUGAUGGAGACUCAUUCCUCGGAACAGUACGCCGUCUCUCUCCCCGCACAGCACCACGCGCCCAAUCAGUCCCAUGAGCCCCGGAUCCUGGCCGAUAGCGGCGCAGCUCUGGGUCACAUGGUACUCUUUCUGGAGGAAGUUCUCUAAUCUCUGCUGUGCGGCUCCGCGAUGUCCAUCCUCUUCUCCUUCGCUCAGCAUCAGUAACUGAGUAAGGAUGGCGACUUGUCUACGGACGCGUGUUUGCGUCAGCGCCCUCGGGUGGCGGGUCCCGCUGGAUUUGGCCAGGUUUCGGAGCAGAUCGGUACCUCGCAGAGGAGUGGCGGGAGAAUGGUAUGGCCGAGCGAACACAAACGGGUUCUGGGGAUCCACCCCGACUCCUGCCCUAGUCUGUAAAAGAAGCUCCAGGCAAUGUUCAGAGUGAGGGGGCAGAAUCAGGGGCUGCACCCUUCCUCGUUUGCCCUGGACGCCCACUCGAGGGAGAUGGGGAAGGACAAGUCUCUCAAAGGGGGAAAGGGAGGCUUCGAGGGGUGUAAGAGCGCUGGGGGACAACGGGGCAGAGAAGCAUGGAGAUGAGGCAAGUGGGCGGAGCCUUGCGAUUUUAACAUGGCUGCACGUACGUCUGGUUGGUGGACGUGGUGUUUGUCUAGAUGGCGCAGGAGAGAGCGGUAAUGGCGGCCGCAGUAUACACAACACUGCUUGUGCAUCAUAGGGCUCAUGCCUCUACCUGCGCUGACAUUAACGGUGCUGCCCCCUACUCCGGCGGGGGCGGGGCAUUUAAACACAGGCCUGGAUGGUGCAGGAGGCUGAGGGGGACACAAGGGCAGGGAGUGGGGCAGAGGCUGUGACGGAGGUCGACCCGGUGGCCGGUGAGGCGGGGGAUGAGGCGGUUUCCUCUUAGAGUCGUUAGAGUUAGCAUUAGCGUUAGCCGCGGCCGAAGAGGACAGUUUGCGAUGCUUUUUGCGGCGACGGGGUGUCCGGCUGCGCGGCUCUGCAUCGUCCGAAUCGCUGAGCUCUGAGUGAGAGAGCUGAGAGGAUUUAGGAGAGAGAGACCAGGAUGGAGUGACAUAAUCUGAAACGGGACCAGACCCAGACUCCUCCUCCUAAACAGAAUGAGAGACAGAGCGACAGAGAGAGAGCGACAGAGAGACAGAGAGAGAAAGAGAGAGAGUACACUUACAUGUAUAAAAAAAAAA